Molecule: long non-coding RNA, 19908 nt
Filed under: Arabidopsis lyrata
Lineage: Eukaryota; Viridiplantae; Streptophyta; Magnoliopsida; Brassicales; Brassicaceae
Description: long non-coding RNA (ALYR_LNC002666)
Source: RNAcentral
UCUUACUAUGUCAUUGCCACUGAAGUUUGAAGUAUUUUCUUUUAGUGUUUGUUUGCAACAGAGACAUUUAGUAUUGGAUUGAACAUGCCGGCAAAGACGGUUGUGUUUACCAAUGUACGUAAGUUUGAUGGAGACAAGUUCCGGUGGCUAUCAAGUGGAGAGUACAUACAGAUGAGUGGUCGUGCUGGACGUCGAGGUAUUGACAAACGAGGUAUCUGCAUCCUCAUGGUUGACGAGAAAAUGGAACCCGCUGUUGCUAAAUCAAUGCUCAAAGGAAGUGCUGAUUCUUUGAACAGGUACAUGGUUAAGUAUUUCAAAUAUGUAUUUUAUUAUCAGGGUAGAAAAUUAUCACCCUGAUUGAUAGUCUGCUUUAAGAGGGUUAGACAUCUUGACAUAUUCACUCACCAAGACUGUUUUGUUUCCUUUAUUCACCAGUGCCUUCCAUUUAAGCUAUAACAUGCUUCUAAAUCAGUUGCGGUGUGAAGAAGGUGAUCCUGAGAAUCUUCUGCGCAAUUCGUUCUUUCAGUUUCAAGCUGACCGUGCUAUACCUGAUCUCGAGGUGCAGUUGCAAAAUGCUAAAUGUUAGAUUUCCUGAUGAUAGUGUUCACUUUUUGUGUAUGAUCUGAUUGUGGCCUGGUCUUCGCAGAAGCAAAUAAAAUCCCUGGAAGAAGAGAGAGACUCUAUGGUGAUUGAAGAAGAAGAAAGCUUAAAAAAUUACUAUAACCUGAUUUUGCAAUAUAAGAGUCUGAAGAAGGAUAUACGUGAAAUUGUGUUCAUUCCAAAGUACUGCUUACCCUUUUUGCUGCCAAACAGAGCUGUUUGUCUCGAUUGCACAAAUGAUGAUGAAGAGACACAAUCAUUUAGCAUUGAAGACCAGGAUACAUGGGGAGUGAUAAUGAAAUUUAACAAAGUCAAAAGCUUAUCUGAAGGUUGGAACUCUUGAGAAUUAAAUUUUGGUAUAAUGGUAUUAAUCUGCUCACACAAUAUAAUGAUUUCGUCUUGACAUGAGUAAUUAAUUCAGAUGAUGAUAAUAGAAGACCGGAGGAUGCAAACUACUCUGUAGAUGUAUUGACUAGAUGUAUGGUUAGCAAAGAUGGUGUUGGCAAAAAGAAAGUUAAGGCUGUGCCAAUUAAGGAACGUGGUGAGCCUGUUGUGGUCACUGUUCUUUUGUCUCAGGUAUCAUGGCUGCUCCGUUUAAUUUUCUUUUCUUGUCUUGUAGUCCUUUAUAAUGUCUUAUACAUUCUUGUGCGGCUCAUCCUCCUUGAUUCUGCUAUUGAUGAUCUUAUUGUUUUUCUUUAUCAUCAUGGACAGAUUAAGAGUUUAAGCAGUGCAAUCAUGAAUAUACCAAAAGAUCUUGUACCACUGGAAGCUCGAGAGAAUGCUCUGAAGAAGGUUUCUGAGUUACUCGCUAGACAUCCUGAUGGAAUACCCCUAGAUCCUGAAGUUGAUAUGAAGGUAUUUUGUUUUCUCCCCAGUACCUUUCUGCUUCUGCUAUCUUUCAUUUCUCACAAGAGAUGAAUACAACUUUUACUUCAUUAGAUUAAGAGCAGCUCUUACAAAAAGACAGUUCGUCGGUUGGAGGCUCUGGAAAAUCUAUUUGAAAAACACAAAAUUGCGAAAUCUCCCCUCAUAACAGAAAAGCUGAAAGUUCUACACAUGAAGGAAGAGCUAACAGCCAAGAUCAAGUCACUUAAAAAAACUGUCCGAUCAUCAACAGCAUUGGCGUUUAAAGAUGAACUCAAAGCCAGAAAGCGUGUUUUACGAAGACUAGGGUAAAUAUUUGCUAAAUUCAUUUCAUUCACUUUCAAAAUAUACUUAUGAAACCAACUCAAUCUUAUACGUCAGCUACAUCAUUCUCUUCUGCUCUUUUUAAAGUUACAGGACUGUAAUGUUCCAUUGAUGACUCUAUUAGCUUAAUUUUUUUUAUUAUUCUAUUGAAACGCAGAUACAUCACUAGUGAUAAUGUCGUGGAGUUGAAGGGUAAGGUUGCAUGUGAAAUCAGUAGUGCAGAAGAAUUGACAUUAACGGAGUUAAUGUUCAGUGGUAUCUUCAAGGAUGCAAAGGUGGAGGAGUUGGUUUCGCUCCUCUCUUGCUUUGUGUGGCGAGAGAGAGUCCCUGAUGCCGCUAAACCUAGAGAAGAACUCGACUUGCUAUUCAUACAGUUACAGGACACAGCCAGGCGUGUUGCUGAACUUCAGCUUGACUGCAAGGUAUUCACUAACACAUUCUCUCCUUGCUCAUCCAAGAAAACUUGACCAUUUGAAUGAGCUUUGGUCCAUAACUUUGUCUGGUAUGGCAAUGUGUUAGGUCGAAAUCGAUGUGGAGAGUUUUGUUCAAUCGUUCAGACCAGAUAUAAUGGAGGCGGUGCAUGCUUGGGCAAAAGGGUCGAAAUUCUAUGAGGUCAUGGAGAUUGCUCGUGUUUUCGAAGGGAGCUUGAUCAGAGCGAUAAGGAGAAUGGAGGAAGUUCUGCAACAGCUCAUAGUAGCUGCAAAAUCUAUAGGAGAAACACAGCUUGAAGCUAAACUAGAAGAAGCUGUUUCCAAGAUCAAAAGAGACAUUGUAUUUGCAGCGUCUCUCUACUUGUGAUGUCGUGUGCUUAUCUCAUCUUGGCAACAAGAUUGAAACAAAAGCAACGAAUUUUGUUUGUACCAUCAUUUAUUCUUAAGGUCUCACAAUGUGAACAAAGAACUAUAAAGCAAGAGGAGAUUUAGUUUCAUAAUUUUAUUUUUGACUAUGACCAGUUAACGUAGAACAAGACGUGAAUCUUAAUUUCCACAUUUUCCCGUACAAAAGCUACACAACUCCUCAAAACACAUUGCAUCUAAGUGAAUUCAUGGGACCUGAAGACAUAAAACUUCAUUGCUAUACACAGACAUCUCAAUUUUCACAUUGUCUAACGAUCUCUUGCUUCUGCUUUCAUCUUUCCUACGUGGCAAGUACAUUUAAAGCAUAACAGUGAUAUACUCAUCUUGAUCCAGCCAUAGAUGAUGACCUGCCCUCUGUAUUCCCAUUUUCCUCUGCAUCAGUUUUGGGCUGCAUCCUUGCAUUGACUGCGAGUUUGUUCUUCGGUGAAAGUUUCUUCACUUCCUCAGGUGUGUAGAUGAAUAUCUUUCUCACCAUUCCACAGAACUCACUGCAUCACAAAACAGAAGACCAUAAUGUCAACAGUAAAGAAAAAGGAUUACAUUAAAGUAGAUGAUGCUCUGCAAUUGUAAACAAUGCUGUGUUUCUUGUGAGUAUUAGACCGCAAAUGCACUUACUUCCAUGGAUCAUCACCAACCAUCAUCAUGUCAUCUUCAUCAUCGGUGUAAACAACUUGCCAUUUUUUGGUAGAUUUUAAGAGUUCACCCUUGAUUUCGAACAUCUCCUCCAGCUUCUUGAAUAGAUCUUCAUAACACUCUGACCUUGUCAAAUCAACAGCUCUGCCAACUGCACUGCCUUGCAUGUGCACCUAAAUCAAAUCGCCAAAAACAUUGUGUUUUAGUCAAAAGCAAGACGCAGUCACGGUCUGACAAUUUAAGACCAAUAUUGGAGUUGUGACCCAAAAACAAAAAAAAAAAAUUGAUUUUGAAAGAUUGAGCGAUACAAGAGGCUAAUAAUCACCUUUGUGCAGCUACGUAUCUGUCUACUUUGUGAUUCUUGAGGAGACCUCAAAGAGGAAUUCUCAGGGUCAUCACUCCCCGAAGGAAUAUCAGAUUGGUUGAUGUUUAACGGCUCAGACUGCUGACCAGAGUCAAACUCAUUGGAUGGGACAGGUUGAUCUACAGCGACAGCACCGGACACAGAGGCAGCAGAGAAACAUUCAUCCACAUUAACAUUUUCAACUAGCUCAAACCCAAAAAGCCUACAGACAUUUCCAUUAGUUUGCUUCUUUUCAGUAGAUUCAUUGUUAAACGCUGAAGCAAAGGAUUCAGCUGCACUAUCUGCAUGGCUGGGCCAAAAGGCUGAUCCAAUAGAUACUCCAAAUGAUUUGUUCCCACCAUGACCAAACGUAGCAGCUUUGGCAGGAGGAGAGAAUAAUGGCACUGAGGAAGGAGUGUCUGCCGGGGAUUUCCACACACCAUCUGGAGUAACUGAAGAGAGCAUCAAUAAAAAGAGCCAGAGCUGCCACAAAGAAGAACAGUUCAGAAGAGAAGAGAAAACAGAAUACCAGGAGCAGAUGGACCGGUGGUUGGUGAAGGUAAACCAGGAGGUCUCGGUCGUUUGUUCCUUUGUGGAGGCUGAGGUUGUGAAGAAGGAGUACUAUUUGCAACUAGGGGCUCAAGUUCCCAAGGUGAAACUCUUUCAGGACGAAAUACAGAUGAGGGUUCGUCCCAUUGAACCUGAAGCAUGAUCAGAUUGCAAAGAAGCAUAUUAAGAUGCAUCACUCUAUUCAUUCAACUAAAGAAAUACAAACCCACAACUUGCUCCACUGCAAAGUAUAACAGUAGAAUAUUCUAACCUUUAGCGAUCUCCAUUCAGAAUCAUGCCAGACCGAAGACUUGUUUUCCUGAACACCAACUAUUGUCCCACUGAACCUGCAUUGUUAAAAUAAGAAAAAAAAAAUAUAUAUACAUAAAAAGCCAGAAGUUAUAUUGCAUUCAGCUUUAUCAGCGAAAAGAAAACAAGAUAGUUAGAUGUGAUACCUUUUCUCGGGAGCUUCUUCACCCUCGAAUCUCAUCUUGAAACGCAUGCCUACAGACAGCUUCUGGGUCUUAGCUUCGAGAUAUCUAUUGACGCUCACAAUAAACUCUGACCUACUUGUCCUGAUAAUAGAAGAUACGUCAGCCUGAAUUUGCAGCAAAAUGAUUAUCAUCAAGCAUAUGCAAGCAACAGUAACUCAAAGGCAUAAGAUGCAUAUUUGGAGAAAAAAAUGGCUGGCGUGUCUGUCCCAGACCGGACAGAUACAUCUAACAUAGCAAAAGUUUAAGUUUUCUAAAUUAGGCUGACAGUCAGAUGCAUCAACUGAUGUGUUUUCGACCAUUUGAUGGCAUUAAACUGUUUUUUAGGAUUUUGUUCCCAGUCAAUGUCUCAAUUAAAGUAAAGUAAGAAAAAGACCUGGGCUUGUAGAAGACAGAAAAGAUUGUCCCUGUUGUAAUGGCAUGAGCUGCAGUCGCAAGGACCCCAAUAUGCAUGCUAUGACUUGAAAUGACAGAUGACGGGAUAUUAGUCUGUUGUCUCAUGUGCCGCCUAACACCAACUCGGAGCUCUUCAUUCUCACCCCUGAAAGACAAUACUAUGUCACAUGUCCAGCCGUUUAUGGCAGAAACAAUAUCCAUACAAAUGAAAUGAGGAACUUGCCUUAAGAAUAUGAAAGCAUCACCAGCCACUAGUUUCUUCGAGCUAACAAAUACACUCCAUCCAGUUGUUAGCAAAUGGCGCCUUGGUUGGCCUGUAGUCAGUCACAACCUUAUGAUUAAAACAAACGUGAAACAAUAAUAUUAAUGCAAAAUUAUGUAAAGCUUUAAAGAUUUCCAGUAGCAGUAGCAUUAGGGUAAAGGAACCACAGUAGACCAUCUCAUAAUAAGAUACCAAGUGUAAAAACCUCGGAAAAUGUGCCUAAAAUGCCAUUCAUUAUUGUGGAGAUCAGUUGCAACCAAUUCUUGCCACGGUGGUUGUUGGGACAUAUCCUAGAAAAGAGAAAGCAAACUGUUACAAAAAAAAAAAAGAAGUUGGAGGUGUGUCCAAAAAGCAACAAGAACACCGGAAGCAAGUCUGACCAAGGGUGGGAGACAAUCAUCUGCGUGUCGCCGUAGCACAGAGAAUCCACCAUGUGUGCUUGUGUCUGAAGCAGUUAGUGUCUUGCAAAAUGAAUGUACAGUGCACUUUUCAGGUUCUUGAACAGGUGCAUCUGGGCUGGUUGGUUCGUUUUGCUGAUAACCAAACAUAAUAGUUUCACCAAAAUCAAUAACAGGAAAAAAAAAUACAAAACCGUAUUUUAUAGAACACCAAACCAUCAAAUUUACUUACAUCCAGUUCUGGCAAUAAGGUUAUUUGCGCGUAUACUUCAUCAGUCUCGGGCUCUGCCUGAGGUUGCAAAGUGAAGCACAACAAGGUAUGAAAUUAUUUAGCCAACCCAUUUCAUGAAGAAAAAUUAUCAUAUAUCAUGGAAUUCAGCCUACCCUGCGCUGGAUGUUGAUCACUUUACAGAGAAUCUUAGAUGGAAGAUUGAAGGAAGGCAUCUGUUGCUCCAAACCUUGGUGCAUUGAUGCCUCGAGCUGCAUAGGAAGUGACCAAUUAAAUGCAUAAAUGUGAUAACCAGAUAAGAUGCACAAAACAAUUAAUCAUGUGAAAUCAAAACAGGUCGUACAUUUAUCUGUUCUAUACAACAAUACAUGUUUUGGUGACUUUAUUUUAAGCUAGAAAGCAUAAACAAGGUUAUCUGAAGUGACAUAGAGUAAGAACACUCCAAUUAACAUAACCGGCUUUAGCAAAUGAGGGUACUACGGUUUAUCACAAUGUUAAGUGAUUCAACCCAAUAAGAAUACCUGCUCCAUGUGGCCUUCAGGGAAAUAAUAAACUCGUUCCCCUUCACGAGGUAGCGUUACAAGAGGUCCAGCACAGGCAUGCCAGAGCUCCGUACAUAAAGCAUCACUUAAAACUCCUACAAAGAUACAAAUAACGGUUAUGGGAUGCAUUAUGCAACAUAGUUUCUCAAAAACAAAGCAAGGGUUGCAAUAAAUAUUCCACGAACCUCCCGGUUUUACAGAUGAAUGAGUGGUAGCUGCCAUUUGGAAUCCUUAAUCUCGAUAAAUUUACCUGGGCAACAAAAACAAAAGAAGAGAAAACUAUAAGAUUGAAAUGUUAUUCUGAAAGAGAAAAGCAGAAGAUGGACAUAUCCUUCCUCUAAUUUAGACAAACAAAACUCUGAUAGAUGUCAUUAUGUAGAAACAUUUAAAACCCUUUCAUAAAUUUACUGACAAAAUGUGGGCCAUUUAUGUAACUGCUUUGUUCUACAUUGUGUCUAAAGCACAUCACAAGACUAAGAUUCUCAAAAUUUUAUUACCCAAUUUGAAGAGAAAAUCCAAUAGUCACUCAAACAAAGAUGUAAAAAGAAAGAACAAAUAAAGCAAAAGCAAGACAAGAACCUGCUCAAUAACAUACCAAAAAUGAACAGAUUUCAGUCCUUAUAACUUCACACUAUGCAACACAAAAACUGUUACUAAAACCAAGAUUUCAAACUCAGAACCUAAGAUUAUGUAAUAGAAUCAAAUCUAUGAGAAGAAUACAGCUACAGACAAAAUUUCAGUACCACCGAAGACAAAACCCAUUUAGAAAGCUUAAAGAAACGAUUUUUAGAUCAGGAACCAAAAAAAGAGUUGAAAUUUGGAUAUGAAACAAAGUAACAAUUCUUGAUCUACAUUAACCCCAAAAUCAAAAUCCCGGUAAAAUCGACAAACCCAGCUCAAAUCUGACUACAGAUCCUCUAAAGUCUCCUCCUUUUCCAACAUUUACUAAGCAGAACCAAGCAAACCCAGAAAUAAAAAUCCAACCUUUAACUUAAAACCACUGGAUCCAAAGCGAGCUAGGGUUCAAACAAAACCCAGAAAGGGGAUAGAGAGAAACUGAGAAUUGCUGUCAAAAAUAAUGUAAGAAGAGGAAAAAAGAAAACAGUAGAAGAUUGAUUUGGGAAGAUGUGAGAGAUAAAGGUGUGUAUGUAAAGGUGUAUACACACACCGUCAGUGUUUGGUUGAAGCCGACACGAACCCUUUGGCUAUGGCUUGCCUCUUUUUCUCUUCUUCUCUUUUUUUUAUUUUUUCUUUUAUUUUCUUUGUUUCCUCUCUUUGGGUUUUCGUUUCUAACCACAAGCAAUGACUUUGCUCUCUUUAGUCUCUUUACUUUGAAAAAAACAGCAUUUCUUUGAGGAAACUUCACUGAAACUAGCCAUGAUUAACGGAUUUUUUUGGGGUUUUAGCUGUUAAUUUAGUGAAAAAACCUCUGACUCUUAGGAAGUGUAAUUAUUUAAAGAUUAGUAAACUAUUACAUAAAUUGUAUGUUUUAGACUUUGCAUACAUUUUAAGAAUUUCUUGUACUACUACAAAUAUAUUCGUGAUUAAUAUUCAUUAGUUGUUUCAUUAAAUUAACACUAGUUAAUAGGAAAUAAAAUAAAGGUUCUACAGUAAUCUUUGUGAAACAAUUUUUUUUUCUUUUUAAAAAUUAUAGUACAGCUCAAAUAAAAAGCUAUUUUUUUUUCUAUAUUUCCCAUUAUGUGAAUUGAAACGUGCCUCAUGAAUCAUGAUUUUUGUAUUUCAAAUUAGAUUAUAUAUUUAACAAAAUUCAUAUGAGUGACAAAAUCAACAUUGUCAUAUGCUAUAGUAGUAAAUUAGAAAGGUAGAAUACUCUUAAUACAUAAAUUUUUCUCAAGAAUUGAAGUGAAAAUACAUAUUCUUUUUAUUUGUAAAAAUUUAUAAAAUUGAAUUUGUGCAUUAUGAAUCACAUUUUUACUAUUUUAGUUUACUUAAUACUCAUCAUCAACAUCACAUUAUAAAAACAUAACUUUAUCAAUUAUAUUGGUCAUAAAACAUCGGUCUAACAAUAGCUUAAAAUGCUAAUAAAUUUUUUUACUAUUCAAUUUUUGAACAGAAAAGUCUUAACUAAUAUUUAGAAUAAGUAUCUAAUUUUCUUCACAAUUUUUUUUCUUUUCACCUAUAUUUUAGAUUUACAAAAAUAUUAUAUCGCUCGAAUUUGAAAAUGUUUGCACAUUAAAAAAUAUGCAAAUACGGAAACAGAUUUGAAUACAACAUGUGACAAUCAUGCUAGCCCUCACAACAACAAAAAAAAACUGAAAUACAUCUAGGCAAAGUUAUCAAGCAUUAAACUGAUAACGAAGUUGAUGUAGCUAGAAUCCAAAAUCCUUGAGCUAAGAAAGCGGCACAAAGCGAUACCACUCAAUUCUUCCAAAUAUUUUCUUUUGAUUUUCGUCAUGCUAAGGAACAUUGAACUGGGUAUUUCCAUGCAUUAUUUUGAUAUGUUGAAAUGUCAUGGCUUUCUUUAUCUUUGGUAGUUUCAACUCAAUAAAUGUAUAAAAUGUUUGGUGGUUUAAGGUAAACUACUAAUCUAAUCGAAUCGAGAUGGAGAUCGAUCAGUCAAAGUACCUGAGUGAGCUUUAAAUUGGGCAUAAUGAUUUGCUGCUAGCCUAGUUAGAAGAAAUGACAAAUAAAAUACUUCAUCGAAGAUGAAAUAAUAUGUUAUUCUAGAAUUUUUAAUAGAUGAGAACACUUUGAAGUAUGAUAUCUCAAUUUUUUCCACGCAUGUUUAUUUUUGGAAUUCUUAAGUUUCUUCUCUCUUCUUAAAGAGAUAUGAAACUGGCUUUGAGAUUUGAGAUUUUGUUUUCUUUUUGGCAGAAACAUCAGUCAUCACUUCUUGGCUAAUUAUUUUCCUAAGUGGAUUUUCACCCUUAAUAUGAUCCUCUUUCUUAAAAAAGAUAGUCCUUUUGCUAAGAGGAAAGGGGCAAGUUUGGGUAGGUUCCUAAGAUCUAUAUUAUCUUUAAUGAUUCAAAUUCUGAUCACUAUGUAUGUAUAAGAGGACUCAUCAUCCUUUGACGUGAAUCUUCUCGAUUUUAUAACUACCACCGCUUCUUUCAUAUUCAAGGCAUAACAACCAAUGUUUUUUUGCAACUUCAUGAGUAUUGGGGUUUAGCGGUCUAUUAUUGAUAAUCAUGGAAUUCACUUCAAUUAGAUCUUCAGAUUCCAACUCUUGAACAUCGACUAGAUUUUCUUUAAUCUGGAAUUAUAAGUUUUGAAUCUGUUUUUGUAAAUUCUCCUCUAUUUUUUAAAAUCAAGGAAUUGUUGGUGCAAAGAUAAAUUUUCACUUGAAAAAAAUAAAGAAUCAAAGCUAAAAUAGCAUAAUUGAUAUGAGCACAAGGAAAAAGAUAUCGUAUAGCAAACUUAAAAUCAUCGCCAUGGAAAGGCAUAGAAGAAAAGAAAAAACAAUAAAGAGAAAGAGAAAAUGAGAUGAAAAAGACAAUGAAGAUGAAGAUAUAAAAGAAGAAAUUCUUUGGAAUGGAACGUUUUUCACUAUUAAUUAAAAUACUGGUACCCGACAUAAAAUUAUCUUUCUCAAAAAUUUUAUUUUCUUUUAUGUGAAAUUGAUUGAUUUUUUUUAUCAAAAUAUUUUCAUAUUUAUUGACAUUUUUAGGAUCUUAGGUGGGUACAAACACAAUGAGCUUAGCCCUUACAAAAUGAUAAUAUAAAUUAAGGACAUAAAUUAAAAUUAUAUAUAAAUAUAUAUAUAUAUAUAUAUAUAUAUACACACUAAAACCUCUAUAAAUUAAUAAUGUUGGGAGUAGCAAAUUUUAUUAAUUUAGAGAGGUAUUAAUUUAUCAAUAAAUUAAUAAUUAUUAAUUUAUAGAGAGAUUUUACUAUUUUUGUAAUUUCUUAAAAACAUUUCUAUCUAAAAAUAAGGUUUUCUUAUAAGUAAUAUCUUUUAAAAACUAAUUACAAAUAGAUAAGUAAUUAUUAAGUUUAAAAAAACAACACAAACUUUUUUCGAAUAAUAGAGUCAUAUUUUAUUAAAUUUUUUACAUAGAAUAUUUUAAAUAUAUAUCAUAGUAAUUCAAAUAUGACAUAUAUAAAUUUAUAUCAUAUAUAUAUAUAUAUAUAUUGAUAAGUUUAUACAAUUAUUAAUUUAUGAUAUCGAUGGGACCAUAUGUUUAUAUGAGAUUUUCAAAAAAAUUAUUAUCUUAUUAAUUUAUCGAUUUAUGUCAUAUUUUACACUGGUCCCAACUCGGGACCGGAAGAAUUAAUUAAUUUAGAGAGGUUAUUAAUUUAUAGAGUAUUAAUUUAUAGAGGUUUUACUGUAUAAUUGAAGUUUACUAUGUCCCUAGUGACCACUUUUCUUAUCUUUAUAUAUAUAUAUAUAUAUAUAUAUAUAUAUAUAUAUAUAUAUAUAAAACACAAUUGAAGUUUACUCUGUUCCUAGUUAGAUUUACAAUUGAACGAUCGUAAACUUAUACAAAUGGUCCCAUUACAAAUAAUGCAAAAACAGAGAAGCAUAAAUCAGUGAAACAUUUUCAGUCCAUUCACUCAACAAAAGCGGAAUUGCUAAUGGAAUUAGACAAAGCGAUUACGAUUUUGUUGUUCAUCCCAGUUCCGAUGCUUGAGACGAAGGACGAAUGAAAAUUGUGAUGUUAGCUAUAUUUGUUUAAAAAUAAUAAUAGUGUCCAAAUUAUAUUUAAUAAUAUCAAACUUAAACAAAUUCUAUUUUUGGUGGUUUCAAAUAUUCUUGGCUUGCACUAAUUUUAGACUUUCAGUUAAAGUUUCUUAACUCAGAGUGAAAAUCUUCAAAAUAAUAUUUUGUAUGAAAUGAAAGAAAAAAUAAUAUAUAGGUCAACAUAUAUAUAAUUCUUAACAUAUGAUUGAAUUAUUGUUAUUCGUCGGUACAUCACUCUUAACAAAAUAAUUAAUUAUUUUUAAAUUUUACUUAGCACUACAGAAAUCUUAAUAACGGAUUAACAAAACUUUAUAUUUUAAAAUGAACAUUGUUUAUUUAAAUUUGAAAAUGACUUACAUUGUGUGUAAAUGCUUAUUUAUGUCAUGCGAUGUUAGUGUCGAUUUUAGCAUCAAUAAUUUUUUUUGUUUAUAAAACACAAAAGAUCACCACACCAGUUUUAUUUUUCAUCAACGCCACUAGCAAUCUUCGAAUUUGGGCAAAAUACAGUAUAGAAAGUUUAAGAAAUGAAAAAUAAAAUAAAUAAUCAAUCUUGAACUAUACUCAUAUUCUCUUGAAGUAAAACACCACAUCACAACUAAUUUUUUCAUCUUUUAAUGUGAUCUUUCAAAUUGCAGAAUCUACUCAAACUGGCGGUGGCGAUAGUAGAAUUCAGUAAAUAGAUUUUUAUUUGUUACUCAUUAAAUUUGAAAAAAAUGUAACUUUAGUCAAAUUACACUACAAUAAUACCACAUUAAUUCUGUUGAUAUAAUGCAAUUACCCAAAGUUAUAUUUAUAAAAUAAAUAAAAAAAGCAAAAAUGGCAUGUGUUGUUUAAAUGUAAAAUAAUGCAAACCCACUAGAGUUUCUUACAGCUUCACUGCUUGUCCCCCUUGGGUGGGCACUCAAUUGAGAUUCACGCGCUACAAAAGAUUCAUACCACUUGGAUUAAUAAAAUGAUUUUUAAUUAACUAGUAACAAAAGUAGAGAUUUAGGCUACCAGUAAUAAUUAAUGUAUGCUUAAUAAUUGAGCUGUUUUGUCUUUGACAGUACCAUCACGAGCUUUACGUGUUUUCUUCUCGGUAAGCAUGGACAUGUCUCCUUUGUCUCCAACCAAUCUUUUUAUUCUGAUUUUUUUUUUUUUGUAAGCAAAAACUAAUUUUUUUAGUUUUGAAAAUUUAAUUCAAACAUAUAAAACUUUCAUUAAACUAGCAAGUUACAUAAAGUAAAAAAACAUAUCUACCAAUAACAUAAAUGCUACAUCUAGUUCCAACGGUAAGAUUGCGAAGAAACAUGUUGCUAAAUCGCAAAACAUAUAUAUCAAUAACAUAAAUACUACAUCUAGUUCCAACGGUACGAUUGCGAAGAGACAUGCUGUUAAAGCUGCGAUCUUGGGGGUGGUUGAUCCUUAUUACUUUAUAUAGGCAUGUUGUCAAAGCCCCGAUUUUGGGUGUGAUUGAGUAUAUAUAUUUGAAUGUUAUGUUCUUCUUAAGUUUGUUCUUGAUUUGAACUAUGCCGAUCCUGAGGUAAACUAGUCUGUUUUUGCAACUACACAUUGUCAUCUUGUAUUUAAUAAUAUGGCAAUGACUAGUUUCACACAAAAGAAAAAAAGAAAGAAGAUGAUGGCAAUGAAUUGGCAUAAAAUCUUAUUACACUUCAUUUAACUAUUAUGAAAACAUGAUUUUUGGUAUUAUAUUAUUUUCUUAAUGUGGAUGGCUAAAUUAUCAAAUUGAGGUUUGUGGCAUGUUCUAUUCAUGUAUCAUGUUAUUUAUUUAUGCUGACAUAUUAUUUAAAUAUAUAUAUAUAUAUUAUCAGUUUAUCAUAAUAUAAAGUGUAUGACCUAUUAUCUUAUAGUUUAUAUUAUAAAAUAUUUGUGUAUGUGAAUAUCAAAUUUUUGUAUUUUUUAUAAGUACAUUCAAUAAUUUGUGUUCCUAUUAUGUACAUACUGUUUUCAACCACUUGUUCAAGAGAAGAAAAAAAGAAGAUAAAGCAAUUUUUUUUAUGCUUAUGCGAUGUGAUGAUUUGUGUUGUGAAACUAUAAUGUCUGGAGUUGAACACAAAAGUCAUGAAGUAAAGAAAACAUGAGAACAUUUCUAGUUUCUACACAAGUUGCGUUAUAGUCCAAACAUUAUUAAUCUGGUUCGGCCCCGGUCCGGUUUUGUUUUUAAAACGUUGGGCUCUAAUUGGAAUUGGAUAUUUGCCGAGCCAUCGUUCACAUUGUUUUCAAGCUUUUCAAAACAAUAACUAUACAUACAUUAGUAUUUAUUAAGCCCAAUCCUGAGGCCCAAUACAGAUCUAUUUAAAACUCUUUAACAGCCUACCAUAUUUUUCACUCAAAAUUUCAAAGGCAUGUGAUGCUGCUAGGCAGAUAAUAUUACGAUUUGGUGUAACGUCGGUUAUAACAUUAAUCAAAGUGACUAAAAACAGAUAAUAUAUAAAAAGUAGUACACAAAACAUAUAGUGGAAAAUUUACAUACAAAGUCAACAUUAACACACUAGACGUAAAUACAUAACAAUCGGGAUUCAUAUGAUCCUCAAUUGAUCACAAAAUUAUGAAAGCACAAGUUACGAAAAUAAUAUUAGUAAUAGAUUGAAAGAAUCAUAAUAAUACAAUACAUUUUCUAUAAUCAAACCAUAUAUUAAAAUCUAUAGACUAUUGCAUGCAUGUUGCUAAAUUAACAGCAAAAAUAACUAACAAGAUUAAGUGUACUAAAAUAAGUUGUGGGUUCAAUUCGACCAGUAAUUUAUAUAUGAGGUAUUUUAUGACCACAAAUAAUUAGAUGAGAUUUUUUUAUUCCAAUCCAAAAAUAUUAGGUAUUAAACUUCCAAAUUAAAAUUAAUUUGGUUUUUAAAGCAUUUUUCUCUAUAUUUCAAACGAUUGACACACUAAUCUGAUAUUACAUGGUAGCUCGUCUUGAUUUCUUACAUCGAUGAUUUGUUUUGUUUGUUAACAACAUGCAAUAUACGGAUUUAAAUUAGACGAACGAUUUCUAACAUCAAUUUGUGUUUAUAUAUAUGGCCAUAUGGCGAUAUAUAUAUAUCAAGUCGAUUUGAAAUUAUUAAAAGAUCUUCUUUCUUGCAUUUCAUUGUACGUUUUGUUUGAAAGUGCCAAAAAAGUAAUCCAUCAAGUAAAAGUAAUUAAUCAUAACUUCAGAAGAUCCGCAAGUCAUUAUAUAUUUUUACUGACAUAAUUUCAGAUGAGGUAUCCACUAUUAAGAAUAUGGUUUAACAGUAAAUAUAUCUGUAGAUACAAAUAAUAAAAAUCGCAUUUCAGAAACUCAAGAGCGGCAGGAAAAUAAUACAAAAGCAUCACAAAUUAUGAAACCCACUCCAUGUAAUAACUCUAGAGUUGAAGUAACUGUGUUAAGUGGGAGAAUGUACUAAUGCCAUAAAAAUGGGAGACAAAUUGAUGCAAUAUUUUAACCAUUAAUGAGUAAAGUAAAGUUGAAUAUAAAGAAACUAUUAAUACAUAGUGGAUAAAGGAAGGACGAGCCAAUCUUUAACACCCAACAUGUUCCAGACAUGUUUCUUACCAUUAGAUUGUGUCCAAAUUGAGAACAUCAUUGAGCAAAAUAACAAAUCCAUCACUUUUCAUCGUGUUCCUCUUUUCUAAUUUACAUAGAUAACUUUUGUGGGAAAGAAAAUGUUGGUGUUGUGUUUCCUGUUUGUGUACUGUGACAAUGAUUCCGUAAAUUUCAGUAUAGAACAUUCGAGUUAUUUUAUCUGGUUAAUUUGAUACUAAUUAGUUUGAUUAGUUGAUUAGUAUCAGAUUUAAUUAUCAUUAUUUCAAUACUUCGGUUAGUUAGAAGAUACUUCGAUUUUACACUUGUAUGCAAAGCUUAGAUGUGAAAAAACAAAAACAGAUUUUCCAUAAAAAAAAAUAUAUAUGUGUAAUACUCUUUGAUUUCUUCGAUGAUCAUCUUCAUCGGUUCUUGGCAAUUUCUUUUCGAUUUUGCAUCAUUACUUUCCGACUCCUUUGAUUUCAUCCAUUUUUAUUUUUAUUUUUAUUUCGUAUGAAGUUUAGCUUAUUUUCACGAUUUAAUCUCUAAAUCGAUGUCUUUUAGAAUUCUAUAGAAUUUUAUGUAAUCUCUUAUUUUCAUCUUCCAAAAAUAUGAUAUACAUACCGUCAAACAUUUCAAUACCGUAUGUCUAUUCUUCGUAUUCUAUCAUUUUCUGAACUACAACACAAACAUGUCACUCUAAUAUAAAUGUUAGGAUUUAUAUCCUAAAUUUGAUCUUUAAAAGACACACAUGAUUUAUAGUGAUUUAUCAAAAUACGAGAGUUACAUCAAAAAAAAAUUUGCAUCGAAUUUUAAUAUAAAAAAUCGGUUCGGUAAUGAUAACUCUUGCUCUACAACUCAACUAACAACGACAAAGCAUAAAUAAGGAAACAAACCUAAAAUAUCUUUAAUGAAUACUUUGAUUUUUUUUUUUUAAAGCUAUAUAUAAGAUUCCACAAAGGCCAAAAAUCAAACAUAAAAAAUGGUAUAACAUUUUAUAGGAUUUCUUGUAGACAAAAUAUAUUAAGAUAAAUUUGUUAAUAGGUUUCAAUGAAAUUCCAUGAAAAUAUAUAAUAGGGAAAAGUAAUUCUAUAGAAAACAUAUUUAAUUCUAGUACAUAAAUAAUUAAGUAUAGAAUAGAAUUCCAUAUUUUAUGAAUAACACACAAUUUUAUCAGAAAUAAUAAUAUGAUACUCUAUUUUUAUACAUUGUAAAACUCCUUUCAUUAAUAUGAUAUUUACAGUUUGGCAAAAAAAAAAAAAGCUUGUUUAACUCAGUGACAAACCUUUAGGGCCAAAUCUAUUAUAUUUUAGUGAUAAGAGUACAAGUGUAAAUCCAUACUUUAUUUAUAUUUAUUUCUUAUCUUUGGUUUCAUAUUAUUAGUUCGACUAAUUUUAAGUAAUCAUGGUGCUAGUGGAUGUUAAAAUUAUUAUUUUUGUUUCCCUUUUUGUUUAGUUUUCUAUUGAUAUAUUUUAAUAUGUAAUAAAGCUUUUAUCGAAAUUAACAGUUACGGUCAUAUAUAUUUUAUCAAAUUUUUAAAAAAGAGUACAAGAACUGAGACUAUGAAAUCAAAGGAUUAAUACAACAAUUUAUUUAUAUUAAUUAUAUGCUGGAGAUGCAUGCAUGUUAAUAGGUGAUAUAAUAUUUAUUGUACAUUUUAUAUGCAUUAAGCUAAAUGUUCAUAUCUCCCACCACGUUAGUGUUGUUGCUUCUCGAAGACUUAAUGUUCCAACGAGACCAAAAGAGAUAGCUAAGAAAGUUCAAGAGACUAAGAACCGCUAAAAGCCAAUAAAACAGAUCGAGCCUGUCCUUAUUCAGAUCGUUCUCUCCGAGCCACCCUUUAGAGUCGACCGACGUCGAAGUGAUCUUGUUUACGACCGAAACGAGCACCGAGCUGAAGUAAAACCCAAAGGAGUAGGAACAAUAUGUCAAUGCCAUCAAGAAUGAUUCCAUGCCCUUUGCAGAUUGCUUGUAAAAGAACUCGAUUAAUCCAACAGCUGUAAACAUCUCGGAGACCCCAAAGAUCAAGAACUGUGGCGUGAUCCAGAAGAUACUCAAGAUUCUACCGUCAAGAACUGAAGAGUCUCUACGUUUCUUCUCGAGCAUGGCAGCUGAAACCAUGGAGAAAGUGGAGAGGAAGAGUCCGAUUCCUAUCCGAGUCAAUGGAGGAAUACCUGAGUUAUGUCCUGUGAGCUUACGUGCAAAAGGGACUAAGAAAGAGUCGUAGAGAGGGACGAGGAAUAUGAGCAUCAUGUAAGGGAUGGCCUGGAGUGAAGCCGGAGGAAUGUGGAAAGAAUUUGAGAGACGAUUGUUCAUGGAACUUCCUUGUUGGACCGAAAACGUUUGGAGCUGAGCCAAGAUUGUGUUGAAGACGAUGGUGCUUGCGAAGAUUGGGACAAGUGAGAUUAGGGUUUUUACUUGCUCUACUUGUGUUACUGUGCAUAGCCUCCAUGGACUCUCCUUGGUGUUUGUGUCUUGGAUUUUGAUGCAUGCCUUGUCCAAGAACCUGCCCAAACGUUCAAAUAUAAUCCUUAGAUAUGAUUAUAUUCUUCACGGAUUUCAUGAGAAUUUGUGAUUACAUGCGACAUUUGUUUUUAUAAAAACUAUAUUGUAACUUUAAAAAAAAUCUUAAUAUUUCCUUUAACUUACGCCUUUACGAUUUAGAAAUGAAUUUUGAUUAAACCUUUUAAAGUUUUGGUUUUAUUAAAAAAAAACAAAAAGGAGACAUUACACGUGAACGGAAAAACAACCAAUGUUUGGAAUCUUUCUUUAGAAGUUUUUGUUCGGUCUUCUAAGAAAAUAGAUAUAACUAUCUAUAAAUGAUCAAAUCAAGAACGACCAAAAAGUGAAACAUGAAUGAUAGAAAAAGUGAGAUAAUGAGUUCAAUGUAUGACUAAGACCUGAAACGAGGAGUGUAUGGUAAAGUGGAGGAGGGUACGACGUCGUUUGCGACAUGGUGGUCUCCAUGAAGCAUUCUUGGGUCAGAGGGAGACACAAGCUUUCUUUUUAAUAUGGCAGCCACAACAACCUGAAAUACAGAGACCAUUACGUAUUAUUAUUGUGUAUAUAUAGAUAUAUUAUUUUGUGAAUAUGUAUAUGUAUUAUAAUAUAUUAAUGACUAUCAUAGAAGUGGAUAUCAUUUUGUUUUUUCAAAGCGCACAAUUAUAAUGUUAAACAUCAGUUUCUCUUUUCAUAUGAGUCAUGGCCCAAACUGUUUAGCAUUGUCUUGUCCACACACGUGACCACGAUUCCUCACUUUGAAUAUCGUGUGUUAAUAUUAUUUCUCUAAAUAAAGCCAAGUGGGUCGAAUUUUCCUUUGCAUAUAUCGAUUUGUACACAUGUGAAAUUUUAUUUCUAUAAGAAGUAUAUCAAAUUUAUUUGCAUACAUAUAUAAGUAAAUUUCUCACAGUUUAAGUUUAGAAAACAAGGUAGAGGAAAAUAUGUGUUUUGAAAUAUAUAAAUAAUAUAUAUAUAAUGUUUAGAUGAUGAUCGGUUAGCUAGUAACUUAUAAAGUUAUCAUAAACCGUAAGUUUUGAACAAAGCAUAAUCGGGAUUUGUCAACGAUAUGGGGGUCAACAUUAGCGCAAAAUAUGUAAAGUGUUCUUACUUUUAUGACUAUAUAUAAAGUGUUGUAAUUCCUUUGCAAUAGUAUAAAAUCAUGCAUAAUCAACUUAUUUAAAUGUUUGGUUAUAAUUGUUAUCUGGUAGAGACAGAAGUCAACUCUAUAGUUUAUAUGUGUGGUUGGUCUUAAAUUGUCCAUAUAAAAUAUGCACGGGUCCAUUUAGAUAUGGACUUACGUAUACAUACACGCAUGCAGACAAAUUUGGAAAAAAUACGUCUCACCAGAUUUUCGUUUAUUUUAAUAUAUAUAUAUAUAUAUAUAUAUAUAUAUAUAUAUAUAUAUAUUGCUUUUUGACACAGAUCUAUCUUAGAAGUCAACUAUUAUGGUAGGUAAAAUAAAAACCCAAGAGAAUGAUUUUGUAAAGUAAAUAUUAAAGUAUGUAUAGUGUAGUAAACAUAGCUACGGAUUAUCUAUAAAUAAAGCCAUUAUCAAUAAGUCUUCUAUGUGUAAAACAUACUUUUUAAAAACAAUAUAUUCUAGGUUCAUCUUACUACCGAUGGAACUAUCAUAAAUAUCAUUAUUUUGAUAACGCGCGCUUUUAAGAAUUUAUGUGGCUUAUUUAAUUGAGGUAUUGAAUUCUAUGUUGAAUCAAUAUCUCUAUUUCUUAAAGUUUAAAUUUAAUGGAAUCUUCUGGAUGAAAAAAGUUCAAGUUAAUUAUAUCAUCACUAUGUUCUUUUGUUUUCUUUUUCUUUUUUUCUUUUUUUUUUCGUGUAAGAAUUGUUAAAAGACAACAUAAACUUACUUGGGCAAUGGGAGUGAAGAUGCUUCGACGUGGACGUUUGUUACGAAAAUACAUAGUACCGGAGACUAAGCUAAUGAGGCCCAUAGUCAUUGCUGCAGCAGAGACUCCGAACCCAACGUCCAUUCCCGAAUGAGUUUGAACCCAAACAAGGAGAGUUAGAGCGAUAAGCUCGCCCAUUGAGAAUGCGAAAUAGGCGGCAUUGAAGUAAGAUGAGAGUCUUUUAGAUUGUUUAGGAUGCGACUGAGAGAACUGGUCCGCACCGUGAGCUAUCAUGUUUGGUUUCACGCAGCCACUUCCUAACGCCACCAAGUAGAGUGCCAUGAAGAAGAUCAUUGCCUUGAAACCUUUGGCUUCUUCACAUGCUUGGUCUAUCAAUGGGUUACACUUUGGUGGCUUUAGUUGGGGUAAAUGUGCUUGUACUGAUAAUAGUAUGAAACCCUGGGAAUACACGUGGCAAUCCGAGUUAAAGGACAUAAAAACUUAUAGAAAGUUUCGGAAUGUGAAACAAUGAUCUAAAACAUUAAUUGGUGAUGUUUCAGUGGAGUGUUUGUAGCGAAGGUAUUUUUGUAAAUAGUUAAUUAAAUCAUAAUGAGAUCACACACAAAAGGCAUGUUGCCUGGACAUACUCCACGUAAAUUAAUUACGUGUAUGCAAAUUAUAUAUAAAAAACAGAUUUUGUUAGAAAUCUCAUAUCGAAAGUGUUUUAUAUAUAUUUUCGUUUUAAAUUGGAAGCCAAGAAACUUAGAGAAUUGUAUAUACAGAUAUGUCAAAAACUGGAAAGAGAUGAUGAACAUACAGAAAGCUCGACGAAGCCGAAGAUGAUGAUGGUCCAGAAGCUGCCUAAAAAGGCAUCCGAGAGGUAGCCGCCGAGGAGGGCGAAGAUAAAGAUGGUACCGACAAAGUUGGUAACAAUAUUGG